This 253-nucleotide ribosomal RNA is filed under the name uncultured bacterium. RNAcentral describes it as "partial 16S ribosomal RNA". It matches the Rfam family "Bacterial small subunit ribosomal RNA", at positions 524 to 776 of the family's 1533-position model. The record is from RNAcentral.
UACGAGAGGCCCAACCGUUAUUCGGAUUUACUGGGCUUAAAGAGUUCGUAGGCGGUUCGGUAAGUGAGGUGUGAAAUCCCUUGGCUCAACCAAGGAAUUGCGCUUCAAACUGCCGGGCUCGAGGGAGAUAGAGGUGAGCGGAACUGAUGGUGGAGCGGUGAAAUGCGUUGAUAUCAUCAGGAACACCAGAGGCGAAGGCGGCUCACUGGGUCUUUUCUGACGCUGAGGAACGAAAGCUAGGGGAGCAAACGGG